Molecule: long non-coding RNA, 391 nt
Organism: Micropterus dolomieu (smallmouth bass)
Lineage: Eukaryota; Metazoa; Chordata; Actinopteri; Centrarchiformes; Centrarchidae
Exons: 3
Source: RefSeq, a predicted model, not a curated record
UGCUACAAGAGCUGCCCCCAUGCGCGCACCUGGUCAGCCCGCUCAGACCUGACGAGCGAAGCGGUCAGACUGGUGGGUGAUAUCUGCAUGGCUUUUCAACGAUAGUGACAACUGAGGAACACUGAGGGGCUGACACAGCGUGGUGGCUUUAUUUCUGCUGGAGAGGUCACCUGCAGAUUUGGAGUUUUUUAUAGCCCUGUACUUCUCACCAGUAUAUUAUAUAUUAUAUUAUAUAUAUUACCAGUAUAUAGCUGAUUGGACCAUGCUGGUUGGCCUGGAUUACAACCACCGUGUCCACAGUCCAGCCAGGAGAAAAGCUGAUGACACAAUUCAUUACAUCGCAGACCUCCAGAGUGCCAUCCUCCUCCUCUGACGGUCGUCUACUACUGAG